CUGCUUGGGGGUCAUGGAUAGGGGCAGAGGGGCUGCAGUGAGCAAUACAAUGCAGGGGAACCUUGCACACCACAUGGUGAGUUACAUUCAGACCCCCCUGCAAAUGAAAACUUCCCACCCCUGGGCUGUUUCCCGUUGAUUUGUCACAGAAGUGGACAGGUCCUGGACUGAGCUUGUCCAUGGGCUUCCCUCAGGAGGGGAGGAGGAAUGCAGGAGUCUCUUUACUUCCCAGUUCGGGAGGCCAUCUGGAUGGCUCUGAUCCACUCUGUGCGCUCCUUGGGGGUGGCUGCUUGCAAGAAAUAGUGCACUUCAUCUGCUGUGAUGAUCUCAAAAAGGUUCUCUUCCUCACUCUUCCUGCCUGGGGAAAGAGAAGGCAAAUGGCAGCACGCACAGGCAUCAGAAAGACCACUUGCUCCACCCUCCUCUGCAAGCCAUGAAAUCUCUGUUUUCUUCGUGUUCUAAGGAAAUUGACUAUGUGGCUUUCAAACAUACAAACAAGGUAUGAUUAUAGGAUAAUUCAUUGCACAGUUAUAUACAUAGUAUUGAUAGAGUAGAUACAUAGUAUGACUGUGUGUAUAUAUAUAUUUUUAAGAAAUAGGUAAAACACUUAAGGAGAAACAUUUUCUUUCAUAGUUUACAGGCAAACUAAAUUUCUCACCUUUGUAUAGCAACAGCGUUUAAUGAGUAACCUCUAAUAGUUUCUAAUGGGUACCUUCCCUCUGCUCAUAAUAUAAAUCAAGGGUUGCUCCUGAUAUCUACCUAUCUAUCUGUCUUUCUGUUAAUAUAGAUUUGUAUUUAUAAUAUAUAUUUAUAUAUUUAUAUUUAUAAUACAGAUGUGUGUGUGUAUAUAUAUAUAUGUUUAUAUACAUACACAAAGCCAGACCUACCAACAGUACCACAAGUUAUAGCCUGAACUGUUUUUCAUCAAGCACUAAGUCAGAGUUCUGCUGAAGACUAAAAGGCAAUAACCUGGCCAAUACUGUGACAAGAUUUAAAACAUCACAAAUCAAAUAAAGAACCAGCAUGCUCCCUGCCCUAAAACCAAAGUAUAAUUCUAGGUGGUGGGAGUGGAGGUGGGCAAAUUCAGGCACAGUAAAACUCUAGGCAUUUGCAGUUAUGAUGUUUUCCUGUCAGCCUUUAUCAUACUACAAACCAAAAUGUCAGGACAAAACCAGGGUUUGGGAUGUCAAAACCACAUCACCCCAGAGAUACAAUUUGUCCUCAGCACCUGAGAAGUCAAACUACACCCACGUGGUUAUUCCAUGCACCAAAUCAUAGCCUUGUGGUCUGGGGUCCUCUAGUGCAACCCCCUCACUGCUCUUCUUCUCAGCCAUUGUGAAGUGAUAGAGUUUUCCCAGCAUUGCUCAGGGACUUGCUUGAGGCAUCCACAAAGCCAUCCAACUCCCCAAGGCCUGGAGAGCCUGGACAGCAGUUGGGAGACAAAAAAUAACUCUGGUUUCUCCAAGGUUUUCAGACAGUAAAUUCAUUCCUGCUUUUUUUUUUGAGACAGAGUAUUGCUCUGUCACCCAGGCUGGAGUGCAGUAGCACAAUCUCAGCUCAUUGCAACUUGCCAAGCUCAAACAAUUCACAGGCAUGUGCCACCAUGCCCAGCUAAUUUUUGUAUUUUUAGUAGAGAUGGGGUUUCACCACGUUAGCCAGGCUGGUCUCGAAAUCCUGAUCACAAGUGAUCUGCCCUCCUCGGCCUCCCAAAGUGCCGGGAUUACAGGUGGGAGCCACCAUGCCUGCCCCAUUCCUGCUUAUCCUGAUUAAUUGAUUGAUUGAUUAAUGUUGGCCCAGGAUGUCCAGGUGUGGGAGGGGAGUCUGAGCAGACCCACCUCUCUCACACAGAAAUUCAUCUUACCAUUUGAGUUGCUCUCCACUGAAGUCACCACACAGCCUCUCAAGUGAAUUGCUCCCAGGGGAUCUUCUGCCUAAAGAAGAAAGGAGUUGUUCAUUAUGUUUCCAAAAUGCAGAGUAUAGAUAGACCUCAUCCUCUUGGUGAAAAAGCCAGACUCACUCUAAUAUAGAUCAGGGCCCCCCAAAAUAAGUAAGAGCAGAAGGAGAUUAAAGAAAAACUGCUGACAGAUCUAAGGUCCUUCCAGAUCCUCCACACCCUGCUUCAGUGGGGCCAGGAGGCUCAAUGAGAAAAUGCAAGACGAUCUGGACUUCAAUCUGGAGAAAAGUGACAGGAGAGGUGGAGACACUGAGGUCACUGUAUCCCACUAAAAAAGAGCUACAUGUUUCCAGAGCUCUUUGGUCCCAUGCACCUGAUGCAGCAAUAUAACCACCCAGGGGAAGUCAAAUAGCCCAGUGCUGCAAGCGGAGGGUGAGCACCCUACCCAGAGUUGUCUUCAUGCUUUAAAAGUGGUUCAUUUUAUGGUGGAAAAAGUCCUCUUCGACAAUCAACAGCCCAAAUUGCUGGACUUAAACAAUACCCUCAUCCAAGUUGACCUGGAUGAGGAAUUAUCACCUUUAUGCAUAUUAAACCAUGGACUGAUUUAAUUCCCCUGAAAAUAUCAGAUUGGGGAAAAAUAUGUUGAGUUGACCAAAUAAAUUAUAAUAUAGUGAUAUUUUGUUCCAUCCCUAAGCUUAUACUGACCUCAGAGGCCCAAGAUCUCAGAUCUUUGCAUUGAAAGGGGAUAGAAAAAGGUAGAGGAGAAUGGGAGAAAAAAAAGUGGGCCAGUAAAGAGAAAAAGGGGAUAUCAACAGAGUAGAGAGGGGAAUAGGAAGCCCAGAUUAUAAAUGCAGUGGAUUUAUUUAUUUGAAUGGAUUUAUGAACCACAGGACCUUACCCCAGCAGGGUCAUAGUAGUGCAGGUAGGCAGGGUCUUCUCUCAAGAUGAACUUCCUCACUUUCCAGUUUUUCCUUCUAUGCCCCUGUAUCCAGGAUCAACAUUAAAAGAAGGGAUGGUGAAUUCCCAGCAUCACUCUGUACAAACAAUACCUACAGAAUAAUUAUUUGCUGAAUUGAGAAAAGAAAGAGAAAAUGAAAUACUAACUCCAGGAUAACAAUAUCCCGGCCUAGGUCUUUGUCAGGGAGAUAGUGCUACAGCCAAUAAAUAAUAUGGAUGUUAUUAGAUCGAAGAGGUGGAUUAAAUUAUUUCUAAUUAUUGUCUUCCAGUUUUAGUAUGAUAUAAGGCAGUACUAGGUACAAUGUGCUGUGUUAGGUAAUGUAGGGGGAAUAAAGAGGUUUAAGAUGCCCUGAUCUUUAAAGAGUUUAUGACCUAUGUUGAAAUAUAAAGUAGCAAAUGCCCAAAUCAAAUAAUUGGUAUAGAUAAUGGAUUCCAAAGGCAUUAAGUAGGGAAUAUGUAAUUGUGGGCUUUGGAUAUCAAAGAAAGCCUCAUAAAGACCUGCACUUAUCCAUGUGGGACACAGGAUUUAGAUGGGCAAGACAAAGGUGGGUAGGAGGACAACUGACAACACAAGAGCAGAAGUGGGAAUGCAAGAGACAUACUCAGGUGUUGAUGAAUAAGACCAGUCUGGCUAGAAUGUAGGGUUCAUGAAGAGUAGCAGAGGCAAGGUGGGAAAAGUGGACAGAGAUUUAGUGGAAAUAAAAGGCAGGGUUUGUUGUUGAUGGCUUUUGAGUAGGAAGUGAAAGAAUUACAAUUACAUUUUAAGAAGAUUAAUAUGGUGACAAAGUGCAGGAUGGACCAGCUGGCUAGAUUAAAGGAAAGCCCAGGAAAAGAUGGUAAGUAAAAAAGAAUUCAUUAGGGAAGGAUCACAAUAAUCCAGGCAUAAAAUCAUUAGGAACUAAACCUUAGGUAGCUGCAGUAGGAAUGGAAAUGCCUGUUGCUGUAACAGACAUGAUGAAGGAAGAAGAAGAGGCGGAAGAGGAGGAGGAGGAGAAAGAAGAAGAAGAAGAAGGAGGAGGAGGAGAAAAGGGGGAGGAAGGUAGGAGGAAGGAAAGAGGAAGGAAGAAAGAAAGAAGAAGAAGAAAGAAGGUGACGACUUGGCCUUUCCCAACAGAAUUAAACACUGACAUUGUCUAGACUGAGUUUUAAGGGCAGGAUUUGUGUCUUGCUUAUCUUUGUUUCCCAGGGCCACAGUGCCUGGCAUAUAGCAGCUGCUUCAUAUCUGUUUGUACUUGCUGUGAGUUACCAAGUUAUUUCCAUUAGUGUGUAGCAGAUUUUAAACUGUCAUGGUAAACCUGACUCUAUGAUUUCCCACAGGAAAUUCAAAUGACUUAACUCCAGAAGCCAAAAAUAGUAUUAUAUUAAAAGAUACGGAGUUUCUAUCUUGCCAAUACAAGAAAUAUUAUUUGUAAUUUCUAAAGCACCACAUAUUGGCAAGCAUGUAUACAAAUUUUCCAACAUUUUUCAUUUUACUUGUGCUGAAAGCAAUAAAACAUGUGUGGUCUUAGCAAACAGUGCCUCCUUCAUAAAUCCAGAGGUGCUUCAAGGAAGCUUUCAGAAAUGGGCCUAAGUUUUUUGGCAAAACAUUUGGUGAAGGAACUCACUUCCAAAGAACUUUCUACUUCCUGAAGGAUGGAGCUGGAACCCCUGCAGAGUCAUAUGCAAGGACAGAAAAUAUUCCUACCUGCUAUAUCAUGUCCAAAAUGGCUUUUGCAAAGCAUAGACUUCCAAAAGUAUACAUUGCUGCUCUUUGCCUUAACUAAUGUUGCCCUUCAGAAUAACGACACUAAAGUUGCCACCCCAUACCAUUUCCUCUUCACUGACAGACACACAUGUCAUGCUGUAUUAUGCAAUUGCUGGACAAUCACCAACUUAUUAUGAGCCAAUGGAAGAGGAAGGUAACAGGAGGAUGUGAAAUCAGCCAACCACCAUAUUCCCUUUAAGCCCUCACUGACAUCACAAUGUGACGUGUUGAAGAGUUGGAAGUUAGCAGGUACAUUUCUGGUCAUCUUUCACUUAAUGAGCAUUUUCUAAGGAGUAUUAAGAAAUGCAUGUAUGCCUCAGGUUUCCAAGAAUUGUUACUGAACUGUCAAAGCCAUCUACUUAUAUUUGACUUAAUUAGCUCCCCAAGUGUUCAUUGCCUAUGAUAAAUCAAGAAGGAUGCUGAACUCUGCAGCAGAUACAAGAGAAGCAUAUAUAACACAUUGUUCCUCUCCCUCAAGGAAUCUAAAUGUGGUUGAGAAUUAAACAAGCAGAUGCUUUAUUCAUUGUCAUAACAGAAACAAUUAUGUAAAAAGGGAUUAUACUGAAUAUAAUCUAAGAUCAUUCAUCCUCAAACUUGCUGCCAAGUAGGAUUAUUUAUCCUGGGAUGAGAAAAUAAUGGGGCAGGGAUAAUGGCCUCCAGUUAGCCACAGCUACUUCCCAUCUGUGAGGCUUCCCAUUAUAACAAGCCUUCUAUGAAGUUAAUCCUGGCUAACUCCCAGCAGUAAACACAAGGGAGGCUUACUUUUGGAAUUUUAAGAAAAAGUUUUUAAAAUUCUGAAAAUCCCUUGGGUGAUUUUGAUGUAAACUAUGGUUACUAACCACUGAGCUAAGAGAUUAGAAACAUUAAGGGGAAGUGUCAAUUCAAAUCGAAGAGGUUUUUGCUCCCCAACCUCUGAAAAAAAAUUCAGAGGAAAGAAUAUUGUAAAAGAACAAAAUUCCUGAAUGCACGUAGAUUUCUGUUUUCUUCACAUAAAAAGGAAGCUUCUAAGAAAGACUAUUUAACUUGUAUACUGAUAAUAGAAUAAAUUAGCUUUUAAGAAAAAGGCUGGCUCAGUGGUUCUCAGCUUUGGCUGCACAUCAGAAUCACUUGGGAGCUGUAAAAAUCCAGAGGCUCUGAUUAAAUUGGCCUGGCAUGCAGUUUUAACAGUUCCCUGGGAGAUCCAAAUGUGCACCAACCGAGCUAGCUAAGGCUAAAUUGUACCUAUCAAAGGCCAGACAAAGGAAGGCAAAGGAAAACACAUAAGUUCAAUCCUUGUCCCUAUUGUCUUCAAAAUACAUCCAGACACUCAUUACCCACACACAAUUUUUGACCAUCCCAGGUCUCCUACUGGGCUGCUUCACUGAGACGUGGCUCCAGUCCAGUCCCAACUUUAUCUACUGUUAGCCUUCAUCCUUGGCUUUCCAAGAGCCCCAUUCUAGAUUAGGGUUUGCCCAAUCAACUAAUUCAAGAAAUAACUGAUAACAAUAUAGAAUUAUGGAAGAAAUCAACAAAAUAAAGAAAUUUCCUCCCAAGUUACUCUUCUUGUCUUAACAGCCACAUUCCAGCACCUGCAAUCAAAGAGCCAGGAACAUAGGAAUAUUUGGCAAAACCAACGAGAAAGCAGCAGCGGGCAAACUGUCCGUAGGCAACUGCCCGAGCCUUCCCGGCAUAAGGCUGGCUCUGCCCCAUGCCUUUCUUUUAAUCUAGCCAGCUGGUCACCCUGUCAUAAAAAAAUACUAUAAUAGUCCAUGAAUUCUUUAUAAAUUCUUGCCAUAUAUUUCUUAGGACACUGUUCUCUUAAAACCUGAUAUGAAGGUAAUUUUUCCAUUCGAAUGUCCCACUUCCCCCUGUGAAACUCAAAAUCCAUACCUAUACCUCCUUUCAGCUAUCCCAGCCCAGAGUCCCUCUUUAUAAAUGUAAAUAUGGGCUCUUCUCUGGUUCUUCCCUCCUUGCCCAUUCCAUUAAUCACUAAGAUGGACAUUCAGGGUCCUAACAUGAAAUAAAUCAGAUCCCCCAGUCCCGUGGAGCCUAUAGACAGUACAUGGAAAUCUCCUGAUGGCAACAGAUUCUCUCCAUUAUAUACUGAGCAGCACUUUUAAGGCAGCUCACAGUGCAGCCAGGAAGGCAAGACCUUGGUCCUGCAAAGCAGCCUUGGCCUCUAAGAUGCCUUGUGCAAGUAUCAACUAGCUUCCCCCUGAAUAUUCUCAUGUCUUCCUGCGACUUCCUCCACCAGGUACUGGUCCUGGCUUCCUCAGUCAUCUUGGCCCCUGUCCAUCUCUUACCUCUUGGCAUCAUAUGCCUUGGCACCUGGUAACCGACUAGAGCUCCUCAGCACUCUCCAGCCCUUGCCUCCAAGACUGAUGGUGGCCUGUACCUGUGGACACCUGGACAUCCCCCCAGGACUCUGUCCAUGCCCUCAAUCUGCAUUUGACUUUUGCCUGCUGUUCCUGUGAACUGGCCUCUGCAUGCCCAGGUUUUGGUCUUGUCAUGCCCUAAGCACAGACUGGAAUGACUCUUCUUUGCUCUCAGUGGUGUACUCUGUUCCUCUUCUGGGUGUAGCCUGUUCCUGUUUUCCUGGUUGCUUUGAAGGGAGGAGGGACAGGUAAAAUGGAAGUACUUUUACCAUGAGACAGCUUUGUCUUUUGGAUGGCAUCUCUUAGACAAUUUAUCUCCUCCGGCCAUAUUUUUCUUGAAACACCUUUUUUUUUCCUAUGAUAUUGAUAAAAGAGGCAUUUUCCUACUUUUAGGGACAUCUUCUGCCCUGUCAAACUCAAUCUUCCUGAUCUAAAGCCACUUUGAUAUCUAAAGAGCUACUCAUCUAUCUUUCACUUUGUGGGUUUCAUUUUCUGCUUGACUAUUAACCAAACAAACCAAAAGUCACUGGGUAACUUAGAAACAAAAAGGACCUUGUAAAGGGAAAAGGCUAGAUGGGAGCAGUUGUGGCCACUCACCUGCUUCAGUAAACAUCCCUGCUUGAUAAUGACCCCUCUGAAUUCUUCUUUCAGAAUCACAUCAUCAUCACUGGAAUUCUCUUCACAGAAGAACCCACUGUCUGGCUGUUGGAAAAUCAA
This 7666-nucleotide long non-coding RNA is filed under the name Homo sapiens (human). RNAcentral describes it as "HSALNT0303286". Lineage: Eukaryota; Metazoa; Chordata; Mammalia; Primates; Hominidae. The record is from RNAcentral.